Long non-coding RNA from Mauremys reevesii (Reeves's turtle), 213 nucleotides. RefSeq lists it as uncharacterized. Lineage: Eukaryota; Metazoa; Chordata; Testudines; Geoemydidae. The transcript is spliced from 3 exons. The record is from RefSeq and is a predicted model, not a curated record.
GGAAGAGAGGAUCUAGACUAUGGGCUGACCAGGCCUGAGGGAGUAACCAUAAGGAGCAGCUAAGCCUGGCUUGAAACUUUGCUAAAUGACCAUUCAGAGGGCAGAUGCUAAAAUUCCAGUUAGUCCAGGGCAAGUUUUAAAAUGUAGAAUACAGACCAUGGACCGUUAGAGCCCGUUCUGGAACACCAUGACAUUAUCCCAGCCAUAGAGGAC